GAACGCUAGCUACAGGCUUAACACAUGCAAGUCGAGGGGCAUCAGGAAGAAAGCUUGCUUUCUUUGCUGGCGACCGGCGCACGGGUGAGUAACACGUAUCCAACCUGCCCUUUACUCGGGGAUAGCCUUUCGAAAGAAAGAUUAAUACCCGAUAGCAUAAUGAUUCCGCAUGGUUUCAUUAUUAAAGGAUUCCGGUAAAGGAUGGGGAUGCGUUCCAUUAGGUUGUUGGUGAGGUAACGGCCCACCAAGCCUUCGAUGGAUAGGGGUUCUGAGAGGAAGGUCCCCCACAUUGGAACUGAGACACGGUCCAAACUCCUACGGGAGGCAGCAGUGAGGGAUAUUGGUCAAUGGGCGCUAGCCUGAACCAGCCAAGUAGCGUGAAGGAUGAAGGCUCUAUGGGUCGUAAACUUCUUUUAUAUAAGAAUAAAGUGCAGUAUGUAUACUGUUUUGUAUGUAUUAUAUGAAUAAGGAUCGGCUAACUCCGUGCCAGCAGCCGCGGUAAUACGGAGGAUCCGAGCGUUAUCCGGAUUUAUUGGGUUUAAAGGGAGCGUAGGUGGACUGGUAAGUCAGUUGUGAAAGUUUGCGGCUCAACCGUAAAAUUGCAGUUGAUACUGUCAGUCUUGAGUACAGUAGAGGUGGGCGGAAUUCGUGGUGUAGCGGUGAAAUGCUUAGAUAUCACGAAGAACUCCGAUUGCGAAGGCAGCUCACUGGACUGCAACUGACACUGAUGCUCGAAAGUGUGGGUAUCAAACAGGAUUAGAUACCCUGGUAGUCCACACAGUAAACGAUGAAUACUCGCUGUUUGCGAUAUACAGUAAGCGGCCAAGCGAAAGCAUUAAGUAUUCCACCUGGGGAGUACGCCGGCAACGGUGAAACUCAAAGGAAUUGACGGGGGCCCGCACAAGCGGAGGAACAUGUGGUUUAAUUCGAUGAUACGCGAGGAACCUUACCCGGGCUUAAAUUGCAGUGGAAUGAUGUGGAAACAUGUCAGUGAGCAAUCACCGCUGUGAAGGUGCUGCAUGGUUGUCGUCAGCUCGUGCCGUGAGGUGUCGGCUUAAGUGCCAUAACGAGCGCAACCCUUAUCUUUAGUUACUAACAGGUUAUGCUGAGGACUCUAGAGAGACUGCCGUCGUAAGAUGUGAGGAAGGUGGGGAUGACGUCAAAUCAGCACGGCCCUUACGUCCGGGGCUACACACGUGUUACAAUGGGGGGUACAGAAGGCAGCUAGCGGGUGACCGUAUGCUAAUCCCAAAAUCCUCUCUCAGUUCGGAUCGAAGUCUGCAACCCGACUUCGUGAAGCUGGAUUCGCUAGUAAUCGCGCAUCAGCCACGGCGCGGUGAAUACGUUCCCGGGCCUUGUACACACCGCCCGUCAAGCCAUGGGAGCCGGGGGUACCUGAAGUACGUAACCGCAAGGAUCGUCCUAGGGUAAAACUGGAG
This 1439-nucleotide ribosomal RNA is filed under the name uncultured organism. Its description in RNAcentral is "SSU rRNA". It matches the Rfam family "Bacterial small subunit ribosomal RNA". The record is from RNAcentral.